Lolium perenne is the source of this 2297-nucleotide non-coding RNA. Lineage: Eukaryota; Viridiplantae; Streptophyta; Magnoliopsida; Poales; Poaceae. The record is from RefSeq and is a predicted model, not a curated record.
CUCAGCUGAGGAGAGAGGAAGCCAACGUGAGAUCAGCAACCCUAUCCCCACGCUGCCCACCGAAUCGCCGCCCCAACCCAGGCUCCCUCCUCUCGGCCGUCCUCUCUCCCCAUCGCCGCCAUGACGCCAUCGUCUCGUUCAUCCUCCUCUCUCCCAUCGCCGCGCUCCGCCUCGCCUGUCCUCCUCCUUUCCGUUACGCCUGGGGCUGCCGGCAAGGAUCCCCUCCUCCACCGCUCCCUUUCACUGGGCAGAGAAGCAGAAAGGGGCGCGAGUUUGUGGGAGCAGUGUCGCCGUCUUCAGCCCAGGGGAGCACGAGCCGCCUAAGAGAGGAGGAGGAGGAGGUGCCAGGGCGGGGCUCAGCAGCGCAGGUCAAGUGCGGGCCAAUGACCCACUGUGGAAACCCUAGCUGCCAUGGUCUCGUGCCCCCUCAAACUCGCGUCGAUUCACGUGCUGCCACCUCCCCGUCCCUCCUCGAGCUCGUCGUGGUCCUGCUAGCCGAGGUUGCGCUGCAUCUAAAGGGCGGAGACAAUGGAUGGAACAAAAGAUGGAUCGUCGCACAGAGGCAUGAGCAUGGUGGAUAAUGAAGGAGAGAGGAGGUGGCAUAUGGAGGGUGAGAAGGUGGAGGAGGUGGUAUAUGGAGGGUGAGCAGGCGGACGAGGUGGCACUCCCACAACCUGCAGCUGGCUUGUCGCGCGAGAAUCAGCAAUGCAACAUACUUGUGUUUGUGCCUUUUUAAUCGCCUAUCUAUGUUUUUGAACAUAAUUCUAGCUGUUAACGAAUCAACAUACUGCUAAUUGCAAAGUUAGUACCAUUGUUGUUCCCUUUAAGAUUCUCACAAACAGAAUUUUUUUCUUUCAUUGUUCAACAUUUGUUAUAGAAAAGGUACUCCACUUUGUAUGCUCUCUAUAUGUUCAACUUGGUCUAUUGUUGUAUUUGUUCAAUUCCUCUAAGCAUAUGUUAUUCAGUAUAUUUAUAUUUUGAAUGUUUCGCGGUAUUUAACUUCAACCCCUGCUUGUGAGCCCGGAGAGAGGGAUCUUUUACUCCGUCCUUUAUUUACACCCUGUUGAUUAUCAUCGAGUUCACUCUCCUGUUGAUUGGAAUAUUUUAAAACGUCAACAUUUCUCAGGUUUGCAGUUAUUCUGUUUUGUAGUGUAACCUGUGAAACACUGUCGCUAUUGCAACUAUAUUGUGUUUUUAGGUAAUCUUUUCUGAACAAGCGUACAUGUUGUGCAGACCAUCAAAAACCUGUAUGUUGAGAAUGAAAGGGUAGUGCUCGAAGGUCGUUGGGAAGAAGGUUUUGUUGCGAUCGUAGCAGUUGGCGCUACUAAUGUUAGUUCUGUCAGGGUUUUAAUGAUGGGCAUCUUUGUUAUAGAACUUCUCAUUAUAGAGGCACUCCAAGUUCUGAUGCUAUUAUCUUUCAGUGCUACAAUUGUAUUCAUCUCGGUUAGGAACCGUAAGAGAGGGAAUGAUUUUUGUGGCGUCCAUUCACUGGCACACUAUGUCUCCCAGUGCCGCCUUAUCGCUGAUUCAAUCGUAGCUGCCGCAUCACCAUUCUUGAUGUCGCCACCACCGAGACAAGGUUGUGGUCAUGUCCUCAGGUAAAUAUUCACCGGAGAAAAACUACAGGCAGAUAUCGUAGUUCCUAUGUUCAGCUGGUUGUAGCCUGCCGUGCAUAUGUUUUGUUGAAAUUAUGAAGGAUUUGCAGCUUCCGUCAUCAGCGAGAGAUGAUAGCUGAGAAUGUCGGUGUUCUGUGGUGUUGAGUUAUGGGUGAGCCACCUAAUUGUGGAUGACAAGAAAAUUUGUCUGCCACACAAUAGAAGAAACACUAAUUACAACAGGGGAUUAGGCGGUGAUGGUGUCUUCGUCUCAGAAAACGCUGGACCUACUUUGGAAUCAAGGAGAACAAAUAAAAACAGAUUGCUGCCCAUUUUACUGACUUCAUGUUGCUUAGAGUACAAGUUCAUAGUGUGAACUCCUAGGAUAGUGAUGAGUGCUAUGUCGACGAUGUGGCCUUUUACACUACAGCGUUGGCAGUACCCAAUCCAUAUGUGAUGUGCUAUGACUAUAAACAAAAGUCAAGGCCAGACGCUUGACAUAGUUGGUGUUUACUUGCCAGAACCUAUAUUUUCUCAUGGACAGUUUUAUGUGGCCAUCUCAAGGGUCACUUUGAGGAGUGGAUUAAAGAUUAUUACACUAGAUGAGAAUGGUAGCCCCUUUACACAUACUAGAAAUAUCAUGUGUUGUCAAGUGCUGAACAACAUUUAAGAUGAUUUGCUAUCCAUGCGCUUUCUCCUUUA